Molecule: transfer RNA, 82 nt
Filed under: Achromobacter deleyi
Lineage: Bacteria; Pseudomonadati; Pseudomonadota; Betaproteobacteria; Burkholderiales; Alcaligenaceae
Description: tRNA-Ala
Source: RNAcentral
GGGCGGCAUUGCGCACCGCGGCGGCGUAGCCAUCGUUGGCGCCGGUGGGCGCCAGCGCGGCGCUCAGCGUGCUGACCGUCAG